GUGGGGAAUAUUGGACAAUGGGGGGAACCCUGAUCCAGCCAUGCCGCGUGUGUGAAGAAGGCCUUUUGGUUGUAAAGCACUUUAAGUGAGGAGGAGGCUACCGAGAUUAAUACUCUUGGAUAGUGGACGUUACUCGCAGAAUAAGCACCGGCUAACUCUGUGCCAGCAGCCGCGGUAAUACAGAGGGUGCAAGCGUUAAUCGGAUUUACUGGGCGUAAAGCGCGCGUAGGUGGCCAAUUAAGUCAAAUGUGAAAUCCCCGAGCUUAACUUGGGAAUUGCAUUCGAUACUGGUUGGCUAGAGUAUGGGAGAGGAUGGUAGAAUUCCAGGUGUAGCGGUGAAAUGCGUAGAGAUCUGGAGGAAUACCGAUGGCGAAGGCAGCCAUCUGGCCUAAUACUGACACUGAGGUGCGAAAGCAUGGGGAGCAAACAGGAUUAGAUACCCCGGUAGUCC
Molecule: ribosomal RNA, 451 nt
Filed under: uncultured bacterium
Lineage: Bacteria
Description: bacterial SSU rRNA
Rfam family: Bacterial small subunit ribosomal RNA
Source: RNAcentral